This 253-nucleotide ribosomal RNA is filed under the name uncultured bacterium. RNAcentral describes it as "partial 16S ribosomal RNA". It matches the Rfam family "Bacterial small subunit ribosomal RNA", at positions 524 to 776 of the family's 1533-position model. The record is from RNAcentral.
UACGUAGGGUGCAAGCGUUGUCCGGCAUUAUUGGGCGUAAAGAGCUCGUAGGCGGUUUGUCGCGUCGGCUGUGAAAAUCCGGAGCUCAACUCCGGACCUGCAGUCGAUACGGGCAGACUAGAGUGCUGUAGGGGAGACUGGAAUUCCUGGUGUAGCGGUGAAAUGCGCAGAUAUGAGGAGGAACACCGAUGGCGAAGGCGGGUCUCUGGGCAGUAACUGACGCUGAGGAGCGAAAGCGUGGGGAGCGAACAGG